This 445-nucleotide ribosomal RNA is filed under the name uncultured soil bacterium. RNAcentral describes it as "bacterial SSU rRNA". It matches the Rfam family "Bacterial small subunit ribosomal RNA", at positions 26 to 518 of the family's 1533-position model. The record is from RNAcentral.
AGAACGAACGCUGGCGGCAUGCCUAAUACAUGCAUGUCGAACGAACACUUCGGUGUUAGUGGCGCACGGGUGCGUAACGCGUGGGAAUCUGCCCUUGGGUUCGGAAUAACAGUUGGAAACGACUGCUAAUACCGGAUGAUGACGUAAGUCCAAAGAUUUAUCGCCCAGGGAUGAGCCCGCGUAGGAUUAGCUUGUUGGUGAGGUAAGAGCUCACCAAGGCGACGAUCCUUAGCUGGUCUGAGAGGAUGAUCAGCCACACUGGGACUGAGACACGGCCCAGACUCCUACGGGAGGCGGCAGUGGGGAAUAUUGGACAAUGGGCGAAAGCCUGAUCCAGCAAUGCGCGUGAGUGAUGAAGGCCUUAGGGUUGUAAAGCUCGUUUACCCGGGAUGAUAAUGACAGUACCGGAGAAUAAGCUCCGGACUAACUCCGUGCCAGCAGCCGC